Bacillus rossius redtenbacheri is the source of this 1523-nucleotide long non-coding RNA. RefSeq lists it as uncharacterized. The transcript is spliced from 2 exons. Lineage: Eukaryota; Metazoa; Arthropoda; Insecta; Phasmatodea; Bacillidae. The record is from RefSeq and is a predicted model, not a curated record.
ACAUCUGUUCGAGAGAGCACAACUUUGGUCGCAACGCCCUCUUACGCUACGCACUCGGUUUUUGCCGGGCGGGAUUUUCUUCCUCCUCGCUCCAACACUCGCGGGGAAAAAUAAGGGUGAAGUAGUGAAGUGGAGGGGUGGGGAGGAGGAGGAGGGAAAAGCAAAGUUUUGAUUGACAACAAAGGAGCGAGUUCGGGCCGGUGUAAGCGCCUUUUGGAACACAUCGUGUCGGGCCUCUGUUGCGAGCAGAGAGGAGUUCGUCAUGCUCGCUGUUCGUGUAACGCGGGCUUUUGUGGCCGAAGUCGUGCGGCCUUCCGAGUCGUCGGCGCGUGAGAUGUGGACGACUGCAGCUGCCGGAGGAGGAGGAAGCCUGGAGGGGGGGGGGAGAUGAGAUAAUCACCCCCUGACAGGUCUACCGACAGGACGAAACAUUCGGCCGGGCAAGAGGUCGAAGAUGAAGUUUUAAUUACGACUUUAUUCUCACAACAGUUUUGAUUCCAGGCAAACGUGAGACAUCGAGUGACUGGGAACGGAAAAAAUAGAGAAGACACCUCUUCGCGCCUCUACAAGACAUCGCUGGGGCCUCGAUCCGGCUCGGCUCGCGUCGGCCAUCAUCGGCUCUCUUCGUCCGGGCAGGCGGUACAGCCACUGCCCGCGCGCCACGGACCGGCGCCCGUACAGUCGCCGCCGCGCGACUGUGGAACCCCCGCCGGCUUCUGGAGCAAGCACAUCCCCCGAGAGGCAGACCAGACGCAAAUGUUACAUUUGCAUUACAGCUUCAUGGAAACUAUGGUUGCUGGAUCUCUCAUAACACUGCAAAUGAACAUGUCACUUUACUGUGAAAUAUCUUAAGACUAUCUCAUAAAAUUCCUCCUAGAAUUUUUAAUAAAUUUAAUGAUAAUUUAACCAUUUUCAUUAUGUGAAUGGUUGUUCACGUGGUUAAGUGUGAGAAAAGACUGGUGAAUUGCAUUCUGCACAACCAAAGACAGAAUAAAUGAAAACUUAAAAUUAACGCAAUUCAGUUACUACGUAUAGUUUCAUUGUUUAUGUUAAAUGUGGAGAAAUAGCGUUAAUUUGGUUAGUUUAAUAGUAACAUAAUUGCAAAAAAUUACAAAAAUGUAUUUGAAGUGUUAUAGAAAAAAAAUUGGCAACUAAAUAUUUUGCAAAGAAUUAUUAAUAAACGUCACAAACAUUCUUAAUUACGUGUGCUAUUUAUAUACUGAAUUUUCAGCAUGUUUUGUUUUAGUCAUCUUCAAGUGGAAGACUAAGAGCCUUGAAUUUUGGCGUUUGUGUUCAUAUAUAGCCAGUGAAAUGUAAGGCGAGUAGUGAUUGGUACACUUGGGGUAUCCGCCCAAUCAGGUGUCAGGUAUGAAGCACUGAUAACUGCUGCUGAACACGUCACCGCGGAACGAUAACUCUGCUGCCAAUCACAGUAGGGCAUAUGGAACAUUAUCUGAGGCUGUUAAUAGACUGAUUGUAUGACUGAUGUAACUAUAUUGUUAUAAAGAUUGUCAUUGAUGUAA